GAUGAACGCUAGCGGCAGGCCUAACACAUGCAAGUCGAGGGGUAGAGUUAGCUUGCUAACUUGAGACCGGCGCACGGGUGCGUAACGCGUAUGCAAUCUACCUUGUACAGGGGGAUAGCCCAGAGAAAUUUGGAUUAAUACCCCAUGGUGUUUAGAAGUGGCAUCACUUUUUUACUAAAGUUCCAACGGUACAAGAUGAGCAUGCGUCCCAUUAGCUAGUUGGUAUGGUAACGGCAUACCAAGGCUAUGAUGGGUAGGGGUCCUGAGAGGGAGAUCCCCCACACUGGUACUGAGACACGGACCAGACUCCUACGGGAGACAGCAGUGAGGAAUAUUGGUCAAUGGUCGCAAGACUGAACCAGCCAUGCCGCGUGCAGGAAGACGGUCCUAUGGAUUGUAAACUGCUUUUAUACAGGAAGAAACCCUCUCACGUGUGGGAGCUUGACGGUACUGUAUGAAUAAGCAUCGGCUAACUCCGUGCCAGCCGCCGCAGUAA
This 496-nucleotide ribosomal RNA is filed under the name uncultured bacterium. Its description in RNAcentral is "partial 16S ribosomal RNA". It matches the Rfam family "Bacterial small subunit ribosomal RNA", at positions 28 to 523 of the family's 1533-position model. The record is from RNAcentral.